GCGCGGCACAGAGGCGGAAGCCGGAGUAACGGCAAACAGAAACUUUAUUUGAACAAUGGCAGAGCCAACACAAAAACACCCGUGCAGUUCGGGAUAAACCGGAAAACGGCAGUUCACUUAGAUUACCCACGGAGCGUUAUGGAUGAGGCGCGGCAUGGAGGGAAGCGACGGGGAAGCGUCGGGAGUCCGAGGCGCGCCGGGGAAGCCAAACGCGGCCGUGGAGUGAGCGAGGAGUCCGGGUGAAGACGGCACGCAGCGGGAAAAGCACAUACGUGAAGCACACAGCAUAAACCUGCACAACCACGCACGAACGAACAAUAACGGACCAGGAAUGUGGGAUGGAACAAUGACAUUGCUUCUAUUCUUCAUUUUCUUUAUUUGAUUCCAUCAUCAACACAAGAGGCAAGAUACCUUAAAAGAUCUCAAGAUCUCAUCUGAAACUGAAAAACACUAUCUUCAAAAAGAGCACCUUGACUCCAGUGAAGAAAGCACACGGCCAUACCUGCUUGCCAGGGGUACAAAGAAGAACAGCAUUCAUGGCUCCAUCAAGCAGACGUUCUGGGACAUCUCCUAAGAGUGGUCUCCGCAAACAAUAUCACCAAUUCCAGCUCUUCUCACUUGCUACUGAUAUUGCUCGAUUUAUUGAACAUCUCUCUAGCCCAAAUGUUCCAGAGAAUCCCUGUCUGCCUCCUCGCAUCGUGGAGAGCUCCUUUACGCGUAAAAUGGGCACACAGACCUCAUCUGACCUCUCUGCUGCCUUCGACCAACAGACCCAAACUUAUGAUCACAACCUGCUUUCCUGCAACAAGACCACAGUCUUCUCCUUAUCCCUCACGCUGGUCUCACACAUCUCCAGUCCCUUCAUCCGAUUAUCUUGCUGCUUUACCUUCACCUGACUCUAAGCCAGAAUACUCCCUCAUGUCUUCUGCAGCUGAAGAGGCCCACAAGCUUUUUUUAUCCCAAUAAACAUGCUUAGACUCAAUAAAUUCAACAUACUCAUAGCAUCAGUCAGAUUUUAUUCUACUCUCACACAUAAAUGGCUUACUAUGAUCAUUUUGCUUAUACUUGUGUAAAUAGGUUAUAUAAGUUUGAUUAACA
Silurus meridionalis is the source of this 1098-nucleotide long non-coding RNA. RefSeq lists it as uncharacterized. The transcript has 4 exons. NCBI's taxonomy places the organism in Eukaryota, Metazoa, Chordata, Actinopteri, Siluriformes, Siluridae. The record is from RefSeq and is a predicted model, not a curated record.